Molecule: ribosomal RNA, 224 nt
Filed under: uncultured bacterium
Lineage: Bacteria
Description: partial 16S ribosomal RNA
Rfam family: Bacterial small subunit ribosomal RNA
Source: RNAcentral
ACGCUCGACACCUACGGGGAGGCAGCAGUAGGGAAUCUUCCACAAUGGGCGCAAGCCUGAUGGAGCAACACCGCGUGAGUGAAGAAGGGUUUCGGCUCGUAAAGCUCUGUUGUUGGAGAAGAACGUGCGUGAGAGUAACUGUUCACGCAGUGACGGUAUCCAACCAGAAAGUCACGGCUAACUACGUGCUAGCAGCCGCGGUAAUCUGAGCGGGCUGGCAAGGC